CUCAGAAAACAGGCAGAUUUGGUUAAAAAGAGGGCGAGAAGCGGAAGAAAAACGUCGUUUUUUUAUUAUUCUGGGAAAAAAAAAACGCAAAACCCCCCCAUUUUUGUUCCUCCACCCCCCCUUUUUAAAAAAUGAACGUUUUUCUUCCGCAAAAAGAGGCAGAAAAGGUGAAACUUGCCUGGUGAAGCCGCAAAGAGAGAGACAGGCUGGGAGGAGGAAACAAGGGGAUCUGCAAGAAAAUACACACGGUGAGAAACCCCAAAAACGCCCCAAAUUUAACUGCCCCCCCCCCCCAACACCGCCAGGGGGGGGGCACCCCGAGGGGGGGUCCCCAAAAAAAAUGGGGGGCACCGGGAGGGGGUGAGGGGGUGGGACGGACGCGGCUGCGGCACGGAAUGGGUUAAUACGGCGCCAAAAGUCUUUUGAUUUUUGGGGUGAAACCCGCCGGAUUUGGGGCAGGAAGACCCCCAUGGGGAGGGGGAAGACCCCCAUGGGGAGGGGGACGCCCCCCCCUGCCCCCCCACCCCAUUUUAGGGCCCUGCUUUGGGGUGCGGCGCUUCCAGAGCCUUCAUCCUCCUCCUCCUCCGUUUUGGGGUCCAGUCCCCGUUUUGGGGUUUUGCCCCCAUUUUGGGGUCCAGUCACCGUUUUGGGGUUUUGCCCCCGUUUUGGGGGUUUUGCCCCCCCUCCCCAAUCUUCCUCCUCCUCGUUUUGGGGUUUUGGGGUCUGCUCCCCACCUCCUUCCUCCUCCUCCUCUUCCUCAGGCGUUUUGGGGUCCGGUCCCCGUUUUGGGGUGCAGCACGGCCCCAAAUCCUCCUCCUCCUCUUUGGGUGCCAUUUUGGGGUCUUGUCCCCAUAUCGGGGUACAUUUACCCCAAAAUCUUCCUCCUCUUCCAUGUCCGUUUUGGGGUCCUGUUCCCAUAUUGGGGUACAGCAUUGUCCCCAAAUUCCUCCUCGGGUACCGUUUUGGGAUCUGGUCCCAUAUCGGGGUUCACCACUGACCCCAAAUCCUCCUCCUCCUCUUCGGGUACCAUUUUGGGGUCCUGGUCCCAUAUUGGGGUACAGCAUUGGCCCCAAAUUCUUCCUCCUCGGUGUCCAUUUUGGGGUCUCGUCCCCAUAUUGGGGUUCAGCAUUUACCCCAAAUUCUUCCUCCUCCUCCUCCAGUGCCAUUUUGGGAUCUGGUCCCAUUUUGGGGUCCAGCGCCAGCCCCAAAUCCUCCUCCUCCUCUUCGGGUACCAUUUUGGGGUCCUGUUCCCAUUUUGGGGUGCAGCAUCAUCCCCCAAUUCUUUCUCCUCCUCCUCUGUGUCCCUUUUGGGGUCCUGUCCCCAUAUCGGGGUUCAGCGCCGCCCCCAAAUCCUCUCCGCAGCCCCCCAGCAGAAACAACCUAAUUUUGCCCCAAAACCCCAUUUUUUUUUUACAGGUUUCCCCCUUUUUUGGGGUGACCCCGAGCAGGGUUGUGUCAAACCCAGCUGGGUGAUGCCGCCAGGGGAAUUUUUUAGGGGAAAAGAGUGGGAUUUUGGGUACUGUGAGGGGCUGGGGGGGGGUGAGCCCCCCCACGAGGGAUCUGCAGGGAGAAUUGGGGCAAAAAGGAGCGAUU
This 1593-nucleotide long non-coding RNA is filed under the name Anas platyrhynchos platyrhynchos (common mallard). Its description in RNAcentral is "lncRNA (ENSAPLG00000030296.1)". Lineage: Eukaryota; Metazoa; Chordata; Aves; Anseriformes; Anatidae. The record is from RNAcentral.